Molecule: long non-coding RNA, 3401 nt
Organism: Anolis carolinensis (green anole)
Lineage: Eukaryota; Metazoa; Chordata; Lepidosauria; Squamata; Anolidae
Exons: 2
Source: RefSeq, a predicted model, not a curated record
ACCAACGGCGGCCUUGGCGCCCUCCUCGGACCACAGGGAAGGGACACAAGCGCCCCGCUUCGAGGAUGGGCCUAACCCCAAGCGCUGCCCGGCCCGAAGCCGCGCUACUCACCAGUUCCCCUCAGGAACGCCUCGCCUGAGCAUCGCGGCGCAUCCUCCUGCGCUCCCCCGCCUCCCUCCUUCCCGCUGCUAUAGCUACGGGGAGCCAAGGCAACCGCCUCUCGCGAGAACUCGAAACGGGAGGGAAGCGCGAGACUGCCUCCCGGGCGGGGGUGCGGCUAGAAUAGAUCGAGAGAAGGAGUUGGUAUCGCGAGAACAACCCACGAGAGCAGCGAAAUUUAGGACUACAGAAGGUUACAGCGAACCGAGGAGGAGAAGGACGUCCUGCAGCACAUUUUUCUCUAGUUUUUCAAUGAAUAUCUCAUCGAGUCGCAACCAAUUCAACAUAGUUUGUGGCAGCCACAAAAACGGAAUUUCUGGAGUAGAACAACUACUUUGAAAGCAAUAUCGCACAAUUGAACAGGAAUAAGACUUUCAAACCAGGAACAGAAUUUGUUUUUCAACUUUUGUUACAUAGUGACAGUAAAAAUUAAAUGCGUAGAUAAGCAUGCCUCUUUUUCAAUGUUUUCAUUAAGUUUCAACAAAAAAACAUACGUUAUCAAAACGAACAAAGAAAAGGGACACGCUUUAAACCAGACAAACACAACAUAAUCCAAUUGCACAAUACAAAUAAAGACACUACAGUGUCUUCUCUAGACUUUCUUCCCUUUGGAUUAGAAGUUCUUCCUUAAUUGGCUUGCAUUCCAUUUGGUGAAAAGAAAACUUGAAUACUCAAUUUUUUAUUUUUUUUUCACGGAGACGACUAAAACACUCCUCUAACUGGAGAAACUGCAGAGCACUGGGCAUCUGCUUCCACAUGUAUUAGGAGUGUCCCAAUGCUUCUGGGUUUGAGGAAAUGAUUUCUAAGAAUAAGUUGAAUUACAAACGAAGAAGUUCCUUUAGACCUCCCAAUAAGACUUCUCUUCUUAUUUUGUGACAACAUGAGGCAUAAAGAUCUAAUUAUCUAUUUUUGUUUUGCUGCAAGAUUGAUAAUACAAGGUGUUUCCAAAAGAUGGACUCAAUUUAAAAUUGCAGUGUUCCAGCAGAACUCCACACCACAGUCACCAUCAUCCCAUCCUGCACAAAAAAACAAAGUCCAGGAUGUGUCCAGUGGCAUAAGUAGGACCAGACACCACUUGGGAUAGACUUAUGGGUGUCAUGGAGGCCUUGAGGUUGCAGUGAUCUAUCAUGGAAUCAUCAUAGGCCCCUUCCACACAGCUGAAUAAAAUCCUACAUUUUCUGCUUUGAGCUGGAAUAUAUGGCAGUGUGGAGUCAAAUAACCGAGUUCAAAGCAGAUAUUGUGAGAUUUUCUGCCUUGAUAUUCUGGGUUAUAUGGCUGUGUGGAAGGACCCAUAGAUCACUGCAGCUCCAACUCCCCACUUCCCCAGGUUUCGCCUGCUGUUAUAAAGGAAAACAUCGCAGGCAAAGCUGAGGAAGAUUUAAGUAUGCAUGUUGACUAUCUAAAAUCAUUUCAAAUCUCACCCAACCAAGUUUUUGUAAUACAAGCUGGGUCAGCAUGUUCAUCUUGUAUAGUUGUUUCCAUUUUUGUAAUUCAAAAAUCUCAUUUGUUCUUUAAUUUUUUCCAAAGGAUUGUUUUAAAGUAUCUCAUCUUACUUUGCCUCAGUAGAAUUCAUAUGUAGAUGAAAGACAUUUAGUGACACCUGUGAAUGUGGCAGAGUAGUAUCCUUAACUUAUCCCAGAACCUACAAAAAGUGUAUCACACCCCAGAGAUUGUAACAUACCUUUCUCAUCUUUGAGGGAAUUCCAGAAUGAUAUGUUGGUUUCAGAAAUGUCAAAAAUGUAUUUGAAAAAGAGCAUUUAAUUCAGUGCUUCAGUGAGAGGUACAUUUGAAAUACUAGCAUUAAAAAGACUAGUGAUUUGGAUUAAACUAGGUUUUUGUUUGGUUUGGUUUUACUUUGAAUUAGGAAAAAACGGGAGCUUGGUAGUGAGUGAGGUACGGUCACUUUUAUGCUAUUUAGUUUGUGUAUACAUGCAUAUGCCUGUUUUCAAGUCUCCAACCCCAUGAGUUCAUAGAAUUUUCAUAGGCAAGGAAUACUCAGAAGUGGUGUCGAAGGCUUUCAUGGUCGGGAUCACAGGGUUGUUGUAUGUCUUUCGGGCUGUAUGGCCAUGUUCCAGCCUGAAAGACAUACAACAACUCAGAAGUGGCUUUGCCAGUUCUUUCUUCUGGAAUAUCACUUUCAGCACCUGGUGUUCAUUGUUGGUCUCCCAUGCAUGCACUAGCUAGAACUGAACCUGCUUAGCCUCCAAGAUCAAACAUUAUCUGGUACCUCAUGUAUUCAUGGAUUUAACUAUCCACAGCUAGACAUCAUAGACUUUCCACAGAUAUACCUAUAAACCCCACUUGCUUAGUUUCCAACAGACCUCACAACCUCUGAGAAUGUCUGUCAUAGAUGCAGGCGAAACAUCAGGAGAAAAUGCUUCUGGAGCAUGGCCAUACAGCCCAAAAAACUCACAGCAACCAUUCCAGAUAAUAAUAAUAAUAAUAAUAAUAAUAAUAAUAAUAAUAAUAUCAGCAGAUGACCCAAAAUGCAGACUGUGCAAAGAAGCCGAUGAAACCAUUGAUCAUAUCCUCAGCUGCUGUAAGAAAAUUGCACAGACUGACUACAAACAGAGACACAACUUUGUGGCCCAAAUGAUUCAUUGGAACUUAUGCCUCAAGUACCACCUCCCAGCAGUAAAGAACUGGUGGGAUCACAAACCUGCAAAGGUAAUGGAAAAUGAACAUGUGGGACUUUCGAAUCCAGACUGACACAGUUCUGGAACACAACACACCAGACAUCACAGUUGUGGAAAAGAAAAACGCUUGUAUUAUUGAUGUCGCCAUACCAGGUGACAGUCAAAUUGAUGAAAAACAACAGGAAAAAUUCAGCCGCUAUCAGGACCUCAAGAUCGAACUUCAAAGGCUCUGGCAGAAACCAGUACAGGUGUUCCCGGUGGUGAUUGGCACACUGGAUGCUAUGCCAAAAGAUCUCAGCAGGCAUUUGGAAACAAUAGACAUUGACAAAAUUACAAUCUGCCAACUGCAAAAUGCCACCCUACUGGGAUCUGCGCGCAUCAUCUGAUAAUACAUCACACCAUCCUAAACACUUGGGAAGUGUUCGACUUGUGAUUUUGUGAUACGAAAUCCAGCAUAUCUAUCUUGUUUGCUGUGUCAUACUAUGUUGUGUCAAUAAAUAAUAAUAAUAAUAAUAAUAAUAAUAAUAAUACGAAAUCCAGGAUAUAUAUCUCGUUUGCUGUGUCAUACUCUGUCUUUUCGUCAAUAAUAAUAAUAAUAGCAACAA